Long non-coding RNA from Esox lucius (northern pike), 400 nucleotides. The record is from Ensembl. NCBI's taxonomy places the organism in Eukaryota, Metazoa, Chordata, Actinopteri, Esociformes, Esocidae.
UAUGUGUGUCUGUGGGUCUAUGUGUGUCUGUGGGUCUACAGGUCUAUGUGUGUCUGUGGGUCUAUGUGUGUCUGUGGGUCUACAGGUCUAUGUGUGUCUGUGGGUCUAUGUGUGUCUGUGGGUCUACAGGUCUAUGUGUGUCUGUGGGUCUAUGUGUGUCUGUGGGUCUACAGGUCUAUGUGUGUCUGUGGGUCUAUGUGUUUCUGUGGGUCUACAGGUCUAUGUGUCUCUGUGGGUCUACAGGUCUAUGUGUGUCUGUGGGUCUACAGGUCUAUGUGUUUCUGUGGGUCUAUGGGUCUACAGGUCUAUGUGUGUCUGUGGGUCUACAGGUCUAUGUGUGUCUGUGGGUCUACAGGUCUAUGUGUGUCUGUGGGUCUACAGGUCUAUGUGUGUCUGUGGG